RNAcentral lists this ribosomal RNA (466 nucleotides) under uncultured bacterium. Its description in RNAcentral is "partial 16S ribosomal RNA". It matches the Rfam family "Bacterial small subunit ribosomal RNA", at positions 28 to 505 of the family's 1533-position model. The record is from RNAcentral.
GACGAACGCUGGCGGCGUGCUUAACACAUGCAAGUCGAACGGAAAGGCCCUGCUUUUGUGGGGUGCUCGAGUGGCGAACGGGUGAGUAACACGUGAGUAACCUGCCCUUGACUUUGGGAUAACUUCAGGAAACUGGGGCUAAUACCGGAUAGGAGCUCCUGCUGCAUGGUGGGGGUUGGAAAGUUUCGGCGGUUGGGGAUGGACUCGCGGCUUAUCAGCUUGUUGGUGGGGUAGUGGCUUACCAAGGCUUUGACGGGUAGCCGGCCUGAGAGGGUGACCGGCCACAUUGGGACUGAGAUACGGCCCAGACUCCUACGGGAGGCAGCAGUGGGGAAUAUUGCACAAUGGGCGGAAGCCUGAUGCAGCAACGCCGUGUGCGGGAUGACGGCCUUCGGGGUGUAAACCGCUUUCGCCUGUGACGAAGCGUGAGUGACGGUAAUGGGUAAAGAAGCACCGGCUAACUACG